UCUUGUAAGUCUUGUAAGUCACUCUGGAUAAGAGCGUCUGCUAAAUGACUUAAA
Molecule: non-coding RNA, 54 nt
Organism: Salmo salar (Atlantic salmon)
Lineage: Eukaryota; Metazoa; Chordata; Actinopteri; Salmoniformes; Salmonidae
Source: Rfam